UUUUAAUUCAUGGAUAGUUUUAUUGCGAGUGUCAUGGAAAGCUUGAACUUUUCAGUACACAACAUGCAAACUGAGAAUGAACUGUGUGUGCCGGCUUUGUGAACAAAAACGCAAGGCGGCUAUGAUACACUGUGUUGUGUGUGGAUAAGAAAUGCAGAGUGGUACCACCAAUCACCUAAGCCACCAUUCCCCUUACAGACAAAAGGCUCAUGGGGACAGUUCCUGCAGUUUACAGCAAAGCUCUCAAUUGUAGCCCUACAAACUUCAGAUACUGCCCAUGGUGAAGCUUGGGUGCACUGGGCCGGUUAUCCAGCCGUGUGGAAUCAACAUCUCCAGCUGAACUUGGGCCGGGAAUUAUAUGAGAAUCCUUAGCAGCAUGAGUGCCAGCCAGUCAUUGCUGUUCUUUGCAUUGCUGAGGAGGACAGUCCUGCCAACAUAACAGUUUGUUCAAUAACAGGAGACAAACAGAAACACAGAGGUGCUAUACAUUUCAAUGGAAAAACAAAAGCAUCUCCCAUCAUUUUGGCGUGGCUCAGAUCAAGAGGAGAAUUUCAAGAAAGGUGAUGGUUGGCACACACAAGAAGACAUAGAUCACAGGUGUCCAGGCAUAUGAGUAGACAGGAGUUUCACACUCUGCCAAACUUACUUCAUCAGAGGAGCAGAAGGCUUCUCAAGAUCCCGCACUGCACACUUAGAUAUAGUCUUUGACUACAACAAGGGGAUGAAAGUACAGAAAGGUCCAAUUGAAAUCAAUUCUGUGCUGCGUCAUUUCUUCAUUCUGGAAGUCGAUGGACAUAAUUUAUCAUGGCAUCAAGUGUGCAGUUUGUCGACUAUCAGCAGUCUUGUUCACCAGUUGUGCAACUUGAGCUGGUAGCUUUAUUGCUUGAAGCCACAGCAUAAGAGGGGGAAGGUGCAGGCUCAUCAAAAAGUCUCAAAAGUUGAAACUAGGAAAAGAAG
Long non-coding RNA from Mya arenaria, 957 nucleotides. RefSeq lists it as uncharacterized. The record is from RefSeq and is a predicted model, not a curated record. Lineage: Eukaryota; Metazoa; Mollusca; Bivalvia; Myida; Myidae. The transcript has 6 exons.